RNAcentral lists this ribosomal RNA (1147 nucleotides) under human gut metagenome. RNAcentral's name for it is "bacterial LSU rRNA". It matches the Rfam family "Bacterial large subunit ribosomal RNA", at positions 1304 to 2462 of the family's 2925-position model. The record is from RNAcentral.
GAGUAGCGAGAGGUGAGUGAGAAUCUCACCCGUCGAAAACCCAAGGAUUCCUGAGCAAGGCUCGUCCACUCAGGGUAAGUCGGGACCUAAGGCGAGGCUGAAAAGCGUAGUCGAUGGACAACAGGUGGAAAUUCCUGUACCGAUACAAUCAUUAAAGGAAGUGGGGACGCAGAAGGAUAAUAAGAGCGCCCAGUUGGUGAGGCGUGCAAGCGCAAAGGAUGGAAAGUAGGCAAAUCCGCUUUCCGAGAAGUCUGAAGCGUAAUGCGGAUCGAAAACAAGUAGAGAAGCUUAUGACUCCACACUGCCAAGAAAAGCCACUACUAGAGAAAUAUCGCCCGUACCGUAAACCGACACAGGUAGGUGAGGAGAGAAUCCUAAGACGAGCGGAAAAACCUUUGUUAAGGAACUCGGCAAAAUGACCCCGUAACUUCGGGAGAAGGGGAGCCCCUGUAAAAGGGGGCCGCAGUGAAAAGGCCCAAGCGACUGUUUACCAAAAACACAAGUUUCUGCUAAGUCGAAAGACGAAGUAUAGGAGCUGACACCUGCCCGGUGCUGGAAGGUUAAGGGAAAAAGUUAGCGCAAGCGAAGCUUAGAACUGAAGCCCCAGUAAACGGCGGCCGUAACUAUAACGGUCCUAAGGUAGCGAAAUUCCUUGUCGGGUAAGUUCCGACCCGCACGAAAGGUGUAACGAUUUGGGCACUGUCUCAACAAAGGAUCCGGUGAAAUUGUAGUAGCGGUAAAGAUGCCGCUUACCCACGACAGGACGGAAAGACCCCGUGGAGCUUUACUGUAGGCUGAGAUUGAAUUUUGGGAUUAAAUGUACAGAAUAGGUGGGAGACAGAGAACAAGGUACGCCAGUAUCUUGGGAGUCACCGUUGGGAUACCACUCUUUUAAUGCUAGAAUUCUAACCUAACCCCAUGAAUCUGGGGAAGGGACACUCUCAGUUGGACAGUUUGACUGGGGCGGUCGCCUCCGAAAGAGUAACGGAGGCGUUCAAAGGUUCCCUCAGCACGGAUGGAAAUCGUGCGCAGAGUAUAAAGGCAGAAGGGAGCUUAACUGCGAGACCAACAAGUCGAGCAGAUGCGAAAGCAGGACUUAGUGAUCCGGUGGUACCGAGUGGAAGGGCCAUCGCUCAACGGAUAAAAG